This 497-nucleotide ribosomal RNA is filed under the name uncultured bacterium. RNAcentral's name for it is "partial 16S ribosomal RNA". It matches the Rfam family "Bacterial small subunit ribosomal RNA", at positions 28 to 507 of the family's 1533-position model. The record is from RNAcentral.
GAUGAACGCUGGCGGCGUGCCUAAUGCAUGCAAGUCGAGCGAACGGACGAGAAGCUUGCUUCUCUGAUGUUAGCGGCGGACGGGUGAGUAACACGUGGAUAACCUACCUAUAAGACUGGGAUAACUUCGGGAAACCGUGGCUAAUACCGGAUAAUAUUUUGAACCGCAUGGUUCAAAAGUGAAAGACGGUCUUGCUGUCACUUAUAGAUGGAUCCGCGCUGCAUUAGCUAGUUGGUAAGGUAACGGCUUACCAAGGCAACGAUGCAUAGCCGACCUGAGAGGGUGAUCGGCCACACUGGAACUGAGACACGGUCCAGACUCCUACGGGAGGCAGCAGUAGGGAAUCUUCCGCAAUGGGCGAAAGCCUGACGGAGCAACGCCGCGUGAGUGAUGAAGGUCUUCGGAUCGUAAAACUCUGUUAUUAGGGAAGAGCAUAUGUGUAAGUAACUGUUCACAUCUUGACGGUACCUAAUCAGAAAGCCACGGCUAACUACGUG